CCUACGGGGGGCAGCAGUGAGGAAUAUUGGUCAAUGGUCGGGAGACUGAACCAGCCAAGCCGCGUGAGGGAGGAAGGUACAGAGUAUCGUAAACCUCUUUUGUCAGGGAACAAAGGCGGGGACGUGUCCCCGGAUGAGUGUACCUGAAGAAAAAGCAUCGGCUAACUCCAUGCCAGCAGCCGCGGUAAUACGGAGGAUGCGAGCGUUAUCCGGAUUUAGUGGGUUUAAAGGGUGCGCAGGCGGUCUGUUAAGUCAGCGGUCAAAGCCCGGGGCUCAACCCCGGCCCGCCGUUGAAACUGGCAGUCUCGAGUUGGAGAGAAGUAUGCUGAAUGCGCUGUGUAGCGGUGAAAUGCAUAGAUAUCGCGCAGAACUCCGAUUGCGAAGGCAGCAUGCCGGCUCCACACUGACGCUGAGGCACGAAAGCGUGGGUAUCGAACAGGAUUAGAUACCCCUGUAGUC
RNAcentral lists this ribosomal RNA (459 nucleotides) under uncultured bacterium. RNAcentral's name for it is "partial 16S ribosomal RNA". It matches the Rfam family "Bacterial small subunit ribosomal RNA", at positions 338 to 795 of the family's 1533-position model. The record is from RNAcentral.